Molecule: RNA transcript, 1407 nt
Organism: Solanum pennellii
Lineage: Eukaryota; Viridiplantae; Streptophyta; Magnoliopsida; Solanales; Solanaceae
Exons: 3
Source: RefSeq, a predicted model, not a curated record
CCAUUUUUUUUUUCUAUAAAUACUCUUUCAUACUCUCCCCAUUUCUUUGCUUCACUAUAGGGCAUAGCGCUGAAAAAGUCUCAGAGAGAGAAAGUGAGUGACAAGUGAGAGAAGGAGAAGGGAAGAGCUUGUUAGGUGUUCUUCAUUUCGGGUUCAUCAGCAUCCGGGGCAAGGCGAGUGGGGUGUGGAUAUCUUCUCGAACUCAAGUUUUUUGAUUAACUGAACAAUGGAGGAACUCAAAAACAUUUACAGUCAGAAGAGUUGAGAUAUAGUUUAUAUUGUUUAUGUUUUAUCAUCUGUCUUAUUCAUUACCAGCAGAAUCAUGAGUUUCUAACUAAGUUUGUUCUUUCUUAUUCAACAGAUCCACGCUCUUCCACGAGGUCUAGAGUUCGAACAAAUAGAAUCAGCUCUAAGCUUUGAACUCUUGAACAGGGAGAGGUCUGAGGAAGAAUCUAAUAUCUGCCAAAUCAAUUGGUGUUUUGCAUCCACGCUGAAGUGUGGCUAUCCUGGAGUAACAUUGUGAGUAAUACAGUCGAAUUUCAUGUCUGAUCCACCUAUUCUUGGAGUCAGAGAUCUGGUGUUUACAUCCACCUACAUGUAUCUGCUUUUUCUGAUAGUGUUACCUGAAGAGCAGCCAGAUCAAGGGGUGUUGCUAAACCACUUAAAGUUACACCUGUUGUCCAAUUUGCUCCUCUGUUAUUGCAAAAUAAAGGAUCUUUUUUUGUUGAAAGUGCUUGAUGACUUUAUGUAUUUUGAAAAUUAGUGGCUCUUGUCAUUUGUGCCUUGCUGCUGCUCUUCGACUUCAUCAGAAAAGCUAUACUUGCUGUAUGAUUCCCAUUUCUUUGUGCUUUGAAUUCUAAAUUGGCGCUCAAUGCAUCAUAUGCUGCUAUCUUGCCACUUUUCAGGAUGGUGAAUUAAGCAAAAUGAAUGACACUGACAAUACAAAGUCAGUUUUCUCAGUGUGGUGUUUCACAGCUUCGUUUUAGCAACGUGUGGGAUUGGCUUUAGUGAAUGUAGGAGUCAUCAUACUCAAGAAUAUCACUUCCCACUGAAAUGUCAUUCCAGGAGAUUGAGACUACUCGGAGGAGACAAUCUAUGUCAAUUGUGUAUUUGGCAAUGGAAGAUCCGUUGCAACCGAGCUCCCUUGAAGGCUUCCUUUUUCACUUGGUUAAUGAGUAAGGAAGAAACCUACAAAAGACGUGUCUUCAGCUUUAAUAGUAGGUGCAACAUUAUAAUAAAUUUCCCAAAAGGAGAAUACAUCUUUUUUCAUAUAUUAGGCAUUUUCUAGAUCAUCUGGUGAUCUUAUGCUGCUCUCAUGUUUAAACAUUUGCUGCUUUUUUUUAUAGUUAUUAUAAAAAUAAAAUACUCAAUAGAUGGAUUGUGACAGAGUCAAGAUGUUUUGUUUAA